CGGGACGGGUGAGUAAUGUCUGGGAAACGUGCCUGAUGGAGGGGGAUAACUACUGGAAACGGUAGCUAAUACCGCAUAACGUCGCAAGACCAAAGAGGGGACCUUCGGGCCUCUUGCCAUCGGAUGUGCCCAGAUGGGAUUAGCUAGUAGGUGGGGUAACGGCUCACCUAGGCGACGAUCCCUAGCUGGUCUGAGAGGAUGGCCAGCCACACUGGAACUGAGACACGGUCCAG
RNAcentral lists this ribosomal RNA (233 nucleotides) under uncultured bacterium. Its description in RNAcentral is "partial 16S ribosomal RNA". It matches the Rfam family "Bacterial small subunit ribosomal RNA", at positions 100 to 334 of the family's 1533-position model. The record is from RNAcentral.